This 253-nucleotide ribosomal RNA is filed under the name uncultured bacterium. Its description in RNAcentral is "partial 16S ribosomal RNA". It matches the Rfam family "Bacterial small subunit ribosomal RNA", at positions 524 to 776 of the family's 1533-position model. The record is from RNAcentral.
UACAGAGACUGCAAGCGUUAUCCGGAUUCACUGGGCGUAAAGGGUGCGCAGGCGGCCAAGUGUGUCAGGCGUGAAAGCCCGGGGCUUAACCCCGGAAUUGCACCUCAAACUACAUGGCUAGAGCAUUGGAGAGGGUAGCAGAAUUCAUGGUGUAGCAGUGAAAUGCGUAGAUAUCAUGAGGAAUACCAGAGGCGAAGGCGGCUACCUGGACAAUUGCUGACGCUCAGGCACGAAAGCGUGGGGAGCAAAAGGG